AGUGAACGCUGGCGGUAGGCCUAACACAUGCAAGUCGAACGGCAGCACAGUAAGAGCUUGCUCUUACGGGUGGCGAGUGGCGGACGGGUGAGGAAUACAUCGGAAUCUACUUUUUCGCGGGGGAUAACGUAGGGAAACUUACGCUAAUACCGCAUACGACCUACGGGUGAAAGCAGGGGAUCUUCGGACCUUGCGCGAUUGAAUGAGCCGAUGUCGGAUUAGCUAGUUGGCGGGGUAAGGCCCACCAAGGCGACGAUCCGUAGCUGGUCUGAGAGGAUGAUCAGCCACACUGGCACUGAGACACGGUCCAGACUCCUACGGGAGGCAGCAGUGGGGAAUAUUGGACAAUGGGCGCAAGCCUGAUCCAGCCAUACCGCGUGGGUGAAGAAGGCCUUCGGGUUGUAAAGCCCUUUUGUUGGGAAAGAAAAGCAGCAGGUUAAUACCCCGCUGUUCUGACGGUACCCAAAGAAUAAGCACCGGCUAACUUCGUG
This 491-nucleotide ribosomal RNA is filed under the name uncultured bacterium. RNAcentral describes it as "partial 16S ribosomal RNA". It matches the Rfam family "Bacterial small subunit ribosomal RNA", at positions 29 to 507 of the family's 1533-position model. The record is from RNAcentral.